GACAGACAGACAGACACGUCAAACUUAUAACACCCCUUCGUUUUUGCGUCGGGGGUUAAAAAUAGUUCUAAUGAAAUUCCGCAACAUGGCUGUAGGCAUAUAUUUCUGGUCAGACUCACACUUGACUGGUUACUUUGUGAAUCAGAAAACCACUUUUAACUAAUUAUGAGUAUUAUGAUUAUGACGCACUGACUGAUAAAUAAUGAACCUCCAGCAUGAAGUGUAAUUUACCAAAAGACUAUUUUAGGUUGUUGUCAACUUGUUUUACUGUCACAAAUACUAAUAAGAAAAGUCGUAAUAAUGAAUUGUUUGAUAAAAUUGUGACAUGGUCAGUGACUGUCACAAUUUAACAUAGGGAAACUUUUUAACUGUUGAAUCAUUCCUUUGGUCUUCCUAUAAUGGGUGUGUAAAGGAUGCUUGGUCGUAUGUUGAUAUUUAUUGUGUCCUUAAGGUUAAAUUUUAUCGCCAGCGUGAAUGUGAGAUCUUGUUCGUAAUCGACUUUACGGGUAACGACCUAACUACCAAUAUGUUACAUAAAUGUAAUUCUCAAAUAAGUUGCUAUCGAACUUAAAAGCUUCACGGUGCUUGCGUAACGACGCUUUCACAGACUAUUCGUAGAGUUCUACAUUAAAAAAAAACUAGUCUACAGUAAGCGGCUAGGACAUUUGACACAAAUAAUUUACUAAUUUCCAUUUUGAAUAUGUUGCGUUAACCCACCUUAUACUUGCCAUAAUCUCAAAUAGCUUUGAAUAAAUAUGAAUCUCUUAAGUGCCAUUAUUAUUGCAUUUAAUUUAUUCUAAUCUCACGCCCUUAAUAAACAUGACAAAUCGUUACAUAGUAUUA
This is a long non-coding RNA of Leguminivora glycinivorella, 843 nucleotides long. RefSeq lists it as uncharacterized. Lineage: Eukaryota; Metazoa; Arthropoda; Insecta; Lepidoptera; Tortricidae. The transcript has 2 exons. The record is from RefSeq and is a predicted model, not a curated record.